GGCGGAGUAGCUCAGUGGUAGAGCGGGGGACUCAUAAGCCCUAGGUCGCAGGUUCGAUCCCUGCCUCCGCUACCG
Molecule: transfer RNA, 75 nt
Filed under: Chloroflexota bacterium
Lineage: Bacteria; Bacillati; Chloroflexota
Description: tRNA-Met
Rfam family: tRNA
About the family: Transfer RNA (tRNA) molecules are approximately 80 nucleotides in length.
Source: RNAcentral